RNAcentral lists this long non-coding RNA (344 nucleotides) under Crocodylus porosus (Australian saltwater crocodile). Its description in RNAcentral is "lncRNA (ENSCPRG00005012179.1)". The record is from RNAcentral. Lineage: Eukaryota; Metazoa; Chordata; Crocodylia; Crocodylidae.
CACGAUCAGGAUUCUUGUCUUGUGAAUGUAGUUUUUGGCAGUGGUGAUUAAGUCUUUGGUUUGUUUUGCUUUGGCAGGCCUCAUGAAAUCCUUGAUUUGCUUCUGAUUCUGGCAACUGAUGAAUCACGCAGUCAUCUACAAGGGCAUAUUAAGGUCAUCUGACUGGUAGGCCAUUUUGGGUUUCAUUUGUUGAGACCAAUAUUCUGGUUAAUCGGCUCUUGCAAACAUAAAUGUAAAAGGCAGAUUGGGGCCUGUAACUGGGGUAUAUUGCUUCUUAAUUUCCGAGUCUGUCACCCCUGUAGCAAUGUUUUGCUGUUUUAUCUCCAAAGAAGAUGGUUCAUGAA